GGAAGUAGAAGUCGUAACAAGGUUUCCGUAGGUGAACCUGCGGAAGGAUCAUUAUUGUAUAACCGAGGUGCGAGGGCUGUCGCUGACCCGAAAGGUCGUGCACGCCCGAGUGCCCUCACACACAUACAUCUCACCCCUAUGUGCACCACCGCGUGGGUCCCCCUUUGGCUUGUUCGGAGGGGGGCUUACGUUUUCACACAAACUUUGUAUGCAGUGUAGAAUGUAUUUUUUGUUUUUGCGAUCACGCAAUCAAUACAACUUUCAACAACGGAUCUCUUGGCUCUC
This 285-nucleotide unclassified non-coding RNA is filed under the name plant metagenome. Its description in RNAcentral is "partial contains small subunit ribosomal RNA, internal transcribed spacer 1, and 5.8S ribosomal RNA". The stretch from base 1 to 54 matches the Rfam family "Eukaryotic small subunit ribosomal RNA", at positions 1778 to 1831 of the family's 1831-position model. The record is from RNAcentral.